GACGAACGCUGGCGGCGUGCUUAACACAUGCAAGUCGAACGGAAAGGCCCUGCUUUUGCGGGGUGCUCGAGUGGCGAACGGGUGAGUAACACGUGAGUAACCUGCCCUAGACUUUGGGAUAACUUCAGGAAACUGGGGCUAAUACCGGAUAGGAGCUCCUGCUGCAUGGUGGGGGUUGGAAAGUUUCGGCGGUUGGGGAUGGACUCGCGGCUUAUCAGCUUGUUGGUGGGGUAGUGGCUUACCAAGGCUUUGACGGGUAGCCGGCCUGAGAGGGUGACCGGCCACAUUGGGACUGAGAUACGGCCCAGACUCCUACGGGAGGCAGCAGUGGGGAAUAUUGCACAAUGGGCGGAAGCCUGAUGCAGCAACGCCGCGUGCGGGAUGACGGCCUUCGGGUUGUAAACCGCUUUCGCCUGUGACGAAGCGUGAGUGACGGUAAUGGGUAAAGAAGCACCGGCUAACUACGUG
This 468-nucleotide ribosomal RNA is filed under the name uncultured bacterium. RNAcentral's name for it is "partial 16S ribosomal RNA". It matches the Rfam family "Bacterial small subunit ribosomal RNA", at positions 28 to 507 of the family's 1533-position model. The record is from RNAcentral.